This 569-nucleotide ribosomal RNA is filed under the name uncultured bacterium. RNAcentral describes it as "partial 16S ribosomal RNA". It matches the Rfam family "Bacterial small subunit ribosomal RNA", at positions 355 to 1376 of the family's 1533-position model. The record is from RNAcentral.
UGGGGAAUAUUGCACAAUGGGCGAAAGCCUGAUGCAGCAACGCCGCGUGCGGGAUGACGGCCUUCGGGUUGUAAACCGCUUUCAGCAGGGACGAAGGGUUUCUGACGGUACCUGCAGAAGAAGCACCGGCUAACUACGUGCCAGCAGCCGCGGUGAUACGUAGGGUGCGAGCGUUGUCCGGAAUUAUUGGGCGUAAAGAGCUCGUAGGUGGUUUGUUGCGUCGGAAGUGAAAACUCAGGGCUUAACCCUGAGCCUGCUUUCGAUACGGGCAGACUAGAGGAAGGUAGGGGAGAACGGAAUUCCUGGUGGAGCGGUGGAAUGCGCAGAUAUCAGGAGGAACACCGGUGGCGAAGGCGGUUCUCUGGACCUUUCCUGACGCUGAGGAGCGAAAGCGUGGGGAGCAAACAGGCUUAGAUACCCUGGUAGUCCACGCCGUAAACGGUGGGCACUAGGUGUGGGGGACAUUCCACGUUCUCCGUGCCGUAGCUAACGCAUUAAGUGCCCCGCCUGGGGAGUACGGCCGCAAGGCUAAAACUCAAAGGAAUUGACGGGGUCAUAGCUGUUUCCUG